UGCGCAGGCGGUUUUGUAAGUCAAAUGUGAAAUCCCCGAGCUUAACUUGGGAAUUGCAUUCGAUACUGGUUGGCUAGAGUGUGGGAGAGGAUGGUAGAAUUCCAGGUGUAGCGGUGAAAUGCGUAGAGAUCUGGAGGAAUACCGAUGGCGAAGGCAGCCAUCUGGCCUAACACUGACGCUGAGGUGCGAAAGCAUGGGGAGCAAACAGGAUUCGAUACCCCUGUA
Molecule: ribosomal RNA, 225 nt
Filed under: uncultured Acinetobacter sp.
Lineage: Bacteria; Pseudomonadati; Pseudomonadota; Gammaproteobacteria; Moraxellales; Moraxellaceae
Description: partial 16S ribosomal RNA
Rfam family: Bacterial small subunit ribosomal RNA
Source: RNAcentral